GAGUCGAGGGUACCCGACGCCGCUAGUCUAACCCGCACGGGAGGACGGUGUCGAAGGUACGCUUGGUAAGGAGGGUGAAGUCGUAACAAGGUAGCCGUACCGGAAGGUGCGGCUGGAUCACCUCCUUUCUAAGAGAAAGG
This 140-nucleotide ribosomal RNA is filed under the name Treponema pedis. RNAcentral describes it as "partial 16S ribosomal RNA". It matches the Rfam family "Bacterial small subunit ribosomal RNA", at positions 1408 to 1533 of the family's 1533-position model. Lineage: Bacteria; Pseudomonadati; Spirochaetota; Spirochaetia; Treponematales; Treponemataceae. The record is from RNAcentral.